CGUUACACCUUGUUUAUCCCAAUGUGAACUAUUGAACUCUCUGCAAGUCAUUUGUUACAUUUGUUUCUCCCGAUGUACUGAAUAAAAGGUGUGGUAAGCUGGGGGCUUUUGUCUUUGCUGCGCAGAGCAGCACUGAUCAGACCCAAAGCUCAGCUUCUUCUCAGUCUCAUUUUUCUACCUUUCCUGUCAUUUGCCGUGUGCUGCCGUGGCUCGCAGGAGACCAGGACUCACUGCAGAGGUUCUGGGUCUCACUAUGUAGUUUAGGCUGGCCUUGAACUCACCAAGUAGUCCUCCUGCCUCAGCCUCCUGAGUUCUGGAAAGCAUUUUUCAGCAGUAACUCCCCAAGACAAGAAGUCCCAGUCAUACGCUUGGAGCUGCUGCCCUAGCCUGAGCAGUACCGAGUGGAUGGACCUGUGGGAGAGAUGCCCAGAAGCCAGCAGAACCAGCUCCUGGGACCUGGGUGUCGCUUUGAGAGCUUCUCCUUCAUGCCUGGACUCCUGGAGAAGCCUGCCCAGCUCUGGGUACACAGACAGCAUCUUCACCAUUGGCCACUCUAGAAAAGAGAGCCUGCCUCUCACCAGCCGUUCUCAUAGGUGAUUUUUAGUCAUAUGUCAACCCAACCGGAUUAAGCAAAGCCUAGGAGAUUAGUAAGCACAGUGCUGGGUGUGUCUGCAGGAUAACUGCACAAAGGCCAGCAGAGAAUGGAAGGCCCACCCAGGUUGAGGUAGCAUCAACCAACAGGGUUGCAGCCUAGAUGGAAUAUGAAAGAGAAAGAAGGAACUUGGGCAUGCUUUUUGGAAGUUCCAUUCUGCUUGGGUGAGGGCAUCGUUUGCUGCCAUGGACAUCAGACUCCAGUUCCUUCAACCUUCUGAUGCAGACUCUAUGAGCUCCAGGGAGCAUCCAGGCCUUCAACCUUGGAUUGGUGCUUCACCUUUGAUCUCUCUUAUUCUGUGGUUGUGUCUUCUGGAGCUGGGUGGCUACUGGAACCUUUGGCUCUCCAGCACGUAGACAGUCACUGUGGAUUCUCCUGCCUCUGAUCUUGUGAGCUACCCAAUAAAUCCUCUUACAUAAAUACGUGUGUAGAGAGCACGAGAACCCUAACCAACAUACCAUAGAAGGUCUAUUGCUUGACUCACACCAUGAACCCAUCCCAAGUGCAGUCAGUCCGGCCAAGUGAAUGUGAUGCUUUGAUCAAGCCCCAGUCAUAUGUCUGUCUCUGCAACUUGCUUCACUCCAAAUAUGUAGACAGAAAACAGCUAACAAAAGGUGUUUCUUACACCUAGGAAAACCGUGUAACUUACUGAAUAAAGCAGGUCCCUUUUGAAAGUAAAGGGAGAACUCAAUUAAACCAAGGCAUAAGCAUGCACUGAACUGAGCGGACAACCUGGACAGAGCCUGCCUUACCCAGCGGAAGAGCAAGGCACUGUUGCCGGGGCUGUUGCAUACUGAAGGCUGAGAGGGUGCAGAGCCUGUGGGGUCCCACUAUGUGCACACAUAGUUAGUUACAAUUGUUACAGAUUGGAAAAAUUGAAUUUUUUUCAAUAAGCUUAUAAAAAGAACUUUGCAUUGCUUUGCUGGAACACACUAUUGGUUUUACCUCUUCUUCUAACUGGUAGACACCUCUGUAAUUCUAUUCACUGCACGGGUCCCUGUUUCCUCAUGUGAACUUGGUAUUUACCUGGGCAUCUUUCAUGUUCUUGGUGGCUCUGUGGCUCUCUGGGACGACAUCUGACAUGGGUCAUAGGUGAGACCAAGCCAAGGCGGGAGGGAGAGCACUGGCUGUGAGUCAGCAUGAAACCCUCCCACGUGCUUCUCUCCAUGCGGCAGAUUUGCACUUCAAAGCCACAACAACAGCAGUAGCAACAUGCAUGUGACAGUCCUCCCUGUCUGCCUGCAAAGCUAGUGAGGUCCUUAUGUUACUUCACUUGUUUUCAUUCAACUCAGUGAAUGAAGCAUUGUUAACCCACCUUAUAGAAAAGCAAGCUGUCACCUCCCUCAGCCAUCCCAGGAAUCUGUAGCACCGGCUUACUGUGUGCCAGACGCUUUUCUGGGUGCCAAGGUACAGUGAGGUGCGAGAUGAUACGGUCUCAGACAUCACAGUAUUUUUACAUUCUUUGGAGGUCAGGCUACUAGGGUGACAACAGAACCUCUGUGAAUAAUAUGGGACUAAAACUUAUUAGACUAGACACAAAUGUGGGUUUUCUUGGGUUAUAAGUACCCAAAGAAAACCAAAAAAGACAUUAAUCAUCUCUUGAGUGAGUCAAAGAAGAGAAGUAGGCAAGUCUAGGUUCAGAGUGAUUCCAGAGAUCUGCGGAAGGUAAGGUUGUUGGCUCCACAGACAGAACUGCCACCCCUGUGAAUUUAUGCAGCAGCCUCUGGUGGGGUCCUGUGCCUGCUGCUGGUCACCAAAUGUAGAGGGAAGAAAAGAGAUGACAACCUGGAAAUCACUGGCACAUCUUCAUCUGUGCUUCAGCACCUCCAACCAAUCAUGACCUUCAGAGAUCAGUGACAGCUGAUGGAGAAAGGCAUCACUACCCAUCUCGAAUCUCUGACAGCAGCAUUAGCCUCCUUCCAUCAAGGAAGGGGAUUCUGAGAAAUGUGACCCCAAUGCACCUGCAGUUCACUUUCACUGACAGAGCACAAUGCCCCUGUGGCCAGGCAGGCAGGGAGGGUGGUGGUGUGUGGAUGGACAAUAAAGCAACCAUAGAGGUAAACCAAAAUGAAAACAUUAGAUGGUAGGUGUAGAUAAUGAAAGAUCAAGACUGUAUUAUAGAAUCUCUGGUUACCUUAAAACAGGGCAGGGAGCUUUUCAGAGCUGAUAAAUAGAGAUUCAGAAAUUCAAACCCAAGCACUGUGACUCUGGAGGCCAUUCUCUUAUCUCAGUCGCAAAUCCCACGCAGACUGGACUGAUGCUAAGAACUCCCUACGGGUGGAGCCUGUGCCUUUACAGUGCAGAUUCUCAAGUGCCUAAGGAGCAGCAGGAUGAGAACCUUAGGAGCCUGGCACUCAUGCUUUUAACCUGGGCCGACGUUUAGCAGAUCAGUUGAGAAUGCCCAGUCAGUGCUUGCCAAAGGAGUGGUGAAUUCCUGCAGCGCCUUUCUCACAUAUUUCUGAAAAGAAGAUUAAAUUGCCCCUUACAGUUUGAACCACCAGCCUUUCAGUUAGCAAUGAAAUGCACUACAGAGACAACUUGAGCUCUCAGUUACUUAGCUGUAGCCAAGAAGUCUCCUCCUUAUGACAUUUUUUCAGAAUAGUACCCAGGACGCAGCAACACACACCUUCCAUACACUCUUCUGGUUCAUCAUUAAAACACAGGGUGUGUGUGUGUGUGUGUGUGUGUGUUCACAGAGUGGAGCCCCCAAAGCUUUUAACUCCUCAAAACUAUUUAACAAGCACUGUGUUUAGACAUCUCAGCAACUUCCUCAUCCACUUGGGACAGACGUGCAUGUAGAAGCGGCCUCAUCUCCAUGGAAAGGCUUCCAGGCUUCAGAAACAGUCUAAAAGGCAAAACGUCCUCAGAAACAAUAAGAAUUCAUCAACAUUAAUGGGAACUUCUCUCUCUCCAGUGCUGAGUGCUUCCAGCGGGAUUAAUUGUUUAAUAUUCACAAAGGACUUUGAAGAUGAAAAGAUCCACAGAAAGGCUGAAAAUGAACACUCACUUUAUUUGUGUUUCUCAACCUGUAGUUGAAUCUGCAGGGCUGCCCUGACUUUGAAGCAGCUCCAAGAUUAUAAUAAUGAUGACCACCUUUGGAGUGGGGAGAACAGAGUCCACGGGGAGGAAUAAUUUAGACUCAGUGAUGUUUCCAGCAACGGCAAAGCAAGAUCUUUGGUAUCAAACAGAGCCAGCUGUGUGACCUUGGGCAAAUUACUUACAAACUCUGAGACACUACUUCCUCAACUGAAAGAAUGGAAUAAUUGCAUCUACCUGGUUAUUGUCAAAUUAGAGGUGAUUUAAAGGACUUUGACAGGGCCUGGAAUCUUGCUGGUACUUUUGCAAUUACAACGUUGUUGCUAUUGCCAACAUUGGAGGAAUAUUAAUGAAUAUGGUUUCCAAUAUUUGAUGCUGCAGAAGCCAACCCUGAUCUUAAUUAAAUUUUUCAGAAUUUUUAAAAAGGGUAAAAAAACCCAGCUGACAGACAAAAAUCAUUGAGUCAUUUGUGAGUAUGUGUGUGAGUCUAGCAGUGGAUUCGGUUACUAUUUACUCAAGAUUAAACAAGUCUAAGGAAUCCCUAUUUCAUAACUGCUUUACUUUCCCUCCAUUAUUCUAAUUUCUUUAAUACAGCUCUACCAGUGACUCCAGCUUCAAUCCUCACUGCUGUGGCCAGUACUUCUGCAGUGUUUCACAAAGUGCAGAGCUUACAAAGGCCUGUGUAGCCUGAGAGAAGUCCUGCAGUAAACUGAGGCUCUUGUACGUAAUGACCCUGAUCUAGAAGAUGCUAAGGGAGAGAUACAGGUUAUAAGGUCAACCCCACCUCCAUGUCCAGACACCAGGUUAUCUGGGCAUCCACCCAGGUCAUCAGGGCUCUCCAUCCUGGAGCACUGGAAGAAUGAGAUGGGAGUUAGCAGGAGAGGAUGAAGCACUUCAGGGCCUACUCAGCUUUAAAUUCCACCAGGAUUGAAUCCAAGUGGGCAUUCCCUGACCAGCACUGCCUAGUCUUCACUGGAGGUCCCUGUGGGCUCGAGGAUGCUGCCUGGGUAAGUGAUAGUCCUAGCCUGGGAAUCCACUGCCUGUGUCAGGCAUCCCUACUCUGUGCACGUAUGUGGAUUAAACCAGAAGGCCAUGAAGAGAAAAAAGGAAAUCAAAGGCCCUCACUAGUUCCAUUUCCACACAUUGGAAAAAAUCCUUCCUGCUUCAUUGAUUUAUAGAAUAAGCCUCUUGUCUACCCAGAUAUACACAAGUUAGGAGACAUAGCAUUUGAAAACUUUCUGUGCUAAAAAAUGAUGCCUAAAAUUUUGUGAAGUGUCAUGCCCCUUCAAGUAAAGAAGGAGUUAAGAAAAAAAACAAAAUUAGAGUUUCUUGCUGCUCUUCUAGGUUAUCAGAAGUGGGUGGGUGUUAUAGGAAGAAAAGGAGCAAGGACGAAGCUUGUGAUUGCAGCUUAUAAAAUCUAUUUUAAAAUCCUCACUACCCAAACCCAGGACACAACAAUUUGGAUGACUGGGAUUCUAACCUGGGAACAAUAAUGAGAAAGCCCAUGCAAGGACACAGAAAGUGGCCACCUAUCAGCAAUCAAGAGAGACCUGUCCAGAAAACAAACCUGGAAUCAUCUUGAUCUUGGACUUCUAGCAUCCAGAACUGUCACAAAAUAAAUAUCUAAGCUUUAAACCACUGCAUUUGUCGCAUUUUGCUGGAAGAAUAACCCAACACACAGCCAUCUACCAGGACGAUUGUAGUAGUUACAUCUCCAGGGAAAACACUACCAUAGACAUCAUGUAGGAAUUUCCAAGAUAGAAUUUCCUGAAUGGCUCAGGAAGGCUUCUGAGAGGGAGGAACAAUGGAACUGAGUCUGAAUGGUGAGAAGAAACUAGUCAAAGAGAAAGCCACGCUCAGUGGAGAAUUAAAGUAUUCUAGGAAAUGGACUCUAGAUGCCCAGUGCAGAGGCAGACAGAACAGUGCGGGUUAUAGGUAGGGUCAUAGGCCGAGGGGUGGGAGGCGGAGCUGAGGAUCGGGCUCUGGACCUGCCAGGGGUCCUAAGGGGGCUUCACACUCCUUGCCAAAGAUUCUCUGUUUCAGAAGGAUAAUUUUGUAAUUGUUGUGGACAUGUUCUUUGAAAUCCAUUUUAUUUCUAACACUACCAUUUAAUAUUUGGUUUUAUUGGCCACGUUCAUUGAUUACUCUUUGUUGUUGUUUGGUUUUUUUGAGAAAUGGUUUACUGUGCUAUCCAGGCUGGCUCUGAACUUGAGAUUCUCCUGCCUCGGCUUCCCAAGUAGCUGGAACUACAGAUGUAUACAACUGCACCAGGCCCUUCCCAAG
Molecule: long non-coding RNA, 5971 nt
Organism: Heterocephalus glaber (naked mole-rat)
Lineage: Eukaryota; Metazoa; Chordata; Mammalia; Rodentia; Bathyergidae
Source: Ensembl